UGCUCUCACGUCAUGUGAUUCUUAGCCUACCUUCCAGCUGAGCUCUCUUCAAACACUGGUCUACCCCAUGGCUUACCCUUUGACCCAAGCUUGGCUCCCACGUGCUGUUGGAGCUGCUGUCAGCAGAGUUCAUUCUCUCUCUCUCUCUCUCUCUCUCUCUCUCUCUCUCUCUCUGUGUGUGUGUGGUGUGUGAGUGUGUGGUGCUGUGUGUUUCAACUCCUGAUGUGCUCAGGAAGAUGUUCCUAGCAAAUUUAGGAUUACAGCUGGUUUCUCUUCAUCUAGAGGAUCUUCCUUCAAGCUGACCUUUGGAGGGGGUUUUGAACUGAAGUCUUGUUUGAUAAUGUGUGGUCUCCUGACUGCAGACAGGGGCGCUGGCCUUCCCCAUUCUCCUCUCUGACUGUUGCCGUCACGGCCUUCUUCCGGUUGACCCCACGUGGCAAACACCCUGGGAAGACAAACUCAAAGUUCUACAGCACACCUCUGAGGACCGAGCGUAUCACUGGACUGAUUCUGAUUGUGCGGGUCUGUAGAACAUCCUCUGAAGGUGCUGUGGGGUGAACUCCAUCCAUACUGUGAAGUCUCAUAAGAAGCAUUUUCUCCCUGGAGGCUGUGGUGUCCAAUCAUCAUGCUGUAGUAGACAUAACUUCCAUUCUGUCAGGACCUCAGUGACCACUGGUUUCUCUGGAGACUUCUUCCAACCUGGGGGAGGCCCUGUGAAUUGCCCAGUAACAUGCCCAUGGAAUGGGUCCUGUUCCCAGCAAGGAACUGUCCAAAUGCAACAUGGUGGUGAAGAUGCAGAGUCCAGAGCCUGAAGACCUGGUAUAAGUUCCCAGCUUGCUGCCCACUCCCUGAGAGACUAUGCGUGGACAGGAUAUUUAGGUGCCAUAGGAAAAAAAAACAGAUCAAAGUGGUAAUGCAUCUUCAGACACCAGACCAGUGGCAAAGAGGCAUCUGGCAAGCUAGCGGCAGGAGCUCCCUUUGGAAAUGAACAAUACUGCUGUGCACAGACUGCAGAGAACACGCCCUGAUCUGGAAGAUGUCCUGAGAACAUCUGCCACUAUGCUGAGGUGUAAAGACGGGGACAAGAUCAAUAUGGUAUCAUCAACAAGCUGACCUGAAUAAGUCCCUUCCCUGGGCCCUAUCUUGUCACCCAACUGAUAAAAGGCAGUCAAUAAAA
Molecule: non-coding RNA, 1177 nt
Organism: Myodes glareolus (Bank vole)
Lineage: Eukaryota; Metazoa; Chordata; Mammalia; Rodentia; Cricetidae
Source: RefSeq, a predicted model, not a curated record